This 164-nucleotide ribosomal RNA is filed under the name uncultured bacterium. Its description in RNAcentral is "partial 16S ribosomal RNA". It matches the Rfam family "Bacterial small subunit ribosomal RNA", at positions 1336 to 1500 of the family's 1533-position model. The record is from RNAcentral.
UAGUAAUCGCGGAUCAGCAUGCCGCGGUGAAUACGUUCCCGGGCCUUGUACACACCGCCCGUCACACCAUGAGAGUUGGGAAUACCCGAAGCCUGUGAGCUAACGUUAAGAGGCAGCAGUCGAAGGUAGAAUCAAUGAUUGGGGUGAAGUCGUAACAAGGUAAC